RNAcentral lists this transfer RNA (76 nucleotides) under Holosporaceae bacterium. RNAcentral's name for it is "tRNA-Thr". It matches the Rfam family "tRNA". From Rfam's summary of the family: Transfer RNA (tRNA) molecules are approximately 80 nucleotides in length. Their secondary structure includes four short double-helical elements and three loops (D, anti-codon, and T loops). Further hydrogen bonds mediate the characteristic L-shaped molecular structure. tRNAs have two regions of fundamental functional importance: the anti-codon, which is responsible for specific mRNA codon recognition, and the 3' end, to which the tRNAs corresponding amino acid is attached (by aminoacyl-tRNA synthetases). tRNAs cope with the degeneracy of the genetic code in two manners: having more than one tRNA (with a specific anti-codon) for a particular amino acid; and 'wobble' base-pairing, i.e. permitting non-standard base-pairing at the 3rd anti-codon position. Lineage: Bacteria; Pseudomonadati; Pseudomonadota; Alphaproteobacteria; Holosporales; Holosporaceae. The record is from RNAcentral.
GCCGAAAUAGCUCAGUUGGUAGAGCGCCCGAUUCGUAAUCGGUAGGUCGGGAGUUCGACUCUCCCUUUCGGCACCA